AGGUCAGUAACAGAAAGAACAUCACCGUCCCCAACCUGCAACAAAGGAUACAUCUCCUAUGGGGUGAGGAGGAUCAAAAUUUCUAUAUGGAGAUUGCCCAGAGCCUGAAAAGGCAACUAGGAGACAAUGCAACACUGCAAAGCAUUGAGAAGGGGUG
This is a long non-coding RNA of Telopea speciosissima, 157 nucleotides long. RefSeq lists it as uncharacterized. NCBI's taxonomy places the organism in Eukaryota, Viridiplantae, Streptophyta, Magnoliopsida, Proteales, Proteaceae. The record is from RefSeq and is a predicted model, not a curated record. The transcript is spliced from 3 exons.